GAAAAAAGAAGCAACGGAAUUUGGUCUCUGA
This 31-nucleotide non-coding RNA is filed under the name Homo sapiens (human). The record is from RNAcentral. Lineage: Eukaryota; Metazoa; Chordata; Mammalia; Primates; Hominidae.